GUCUACGGCCAUGCCAACCCUGAACAAGUCCGAUCCCAUCUAAUCUCAGAAGCUAAGCAGGGUUGGGCCUGGUUAGUACUUAGAUGAGAGACCACCCAGGUGCUAUAAGUU
RNAcentral lists this ribosomal RNA (111 nucleotides) under Pteropus alecto (black flying fox). The record is from RNAcentral. Lineage: Eukaryota; Metazoa; Chordata; Mammalia; Chiroptera; Pteropodidae.